GAUGAACGCUGGCGGCGUGCCUAAUACAUGCAAGUCGAGCGAACAGACGAGGAGCUUGCUCCUCUGAUGUUAGCGGCGGACGGGUGAGUAACACGUGGAUAACCUACCUAUAAGACUGGGAUAACUUCGGGAAACCGGAGCUAAUACCGGAUAACAUGUUGAACCGCAUGGUUCAACAGUGAAAGACGGUCUUGCUGUCACUUAUAGAUGGAUCCGCGCCGCAUUAGCUAGUUGGUAAGGUAACGGCUUACCAAGGCAACGAUGCGUAGCCGACCUGAGAGGGUGAUCGGCCACACUGGAACUGAGACACGGUCCAGACUCCUACGGGAGGCAGCAGUAGGGAAUCUUCCGCAAUGGGCGAAAGCCUGACGGAGCAACGCCGCGUGAGUGAAGAAGGUCUUCGGAUCGUAAAACUCUGUUAUUAGGGAAGAACAAAUGUGUAAGUAACUAUGCACGUCUUGACGGUACCUAAUCAGAAAGCCACGUCUAACUACGUG
This 497-nucleotide ribosomal RNA is filed under the name uncultured bacterium. RNAcentral describes it as "partial 16S ribosomal RNA". It matches the Rfam family "Bacterial small subunit ribosomal RNA", at positions 28 to 507 of the family's 1533-position model. The record is from RNAcentral.